This 1236-nucleotide ribosomal RNA is filed under the name metagenome. RNAcentral describes it as "bacterial LSU rRNA". It matches the Rfam family "Bacterial large subunit ribosomal RNA", at positions 1564 to 2808 of the family's 2925-position model. The record is from RNAcentral.
UGAGUACGAGACGCUAAGGCGUUGAAGCAGUCUAUGUCAGACUUCCAAGAAAAGCUCGCAAUGUCAUAAACAAGAAAUGCCUGUACCAUAACCGACACAGGUGGGUAGGUAGAGUAUACUAAGGGGCGCGAGAUAACUCUCUCUAAGGAACUCGGCAAAAUGACUCCGUAACUUCGGGAGAAGGAGUGCCUUAUUUUUAUAAGGUUGCAAUAACAAGAUCCAAGCAACUGUUUACCAAAAACACAGGUCUCCGCUAAGUCGUAAGACGAUGUAUGGGGGCUGACGCCUGCCCAGUGCCAGAAGGUUAAAGAAGUUGGUUAGUUUCGGCGAAGCUGAUGACUGAAGGCCUGGUGAACGGCGGCCGUAACAAUAACGGUCCUAAGGUAGCGAAAUUCCUUGUCGGGUAAGUUCCGACCCGCACGAAAGGCGUAAUGAUUUGGAUACUGUCUCGGAGAGGGGCUCGGUGAAAUAGACUUGUCUGUGAAGAUGCGGACUACCUGCACCUGGACAGAAAGACCCUAUGAAGCUUUACUGUAACUUGAGAUUGAAAUUGGACUUUAUUUGCGCAGUAUAGGUGGGAGACGUUGAGAAUGUUCUUGCGGGAAUAUUGGAGUCAUCAGUGAGAUACCACUCUUGUAAUGUUAGAUUUCUAACUUUGGAUCAUGAUCUGGUCAAAGAACAGUUUCAGGCGGGCAGUUUGACUGGGGCGGUCGCCUCCCAAACGGUAACGGAGGCGCACAAAGGUUUCCUCUGAACGUGUAGAAAUCGUAUCUAGAGUGUAAAGGCAUAAGGAAGCUUGACUGUGAGACCUACAAGUCGAGCAGGGACGAAAGUCGGUCUUAGUGAUCUGACGGUGCUGAGUGGAAAGGCCGUCACUCAACGGAUAAAAGUUACUCUAGGAUAACAGGCUGAUCUCCCCCAAGAGUUCACAUCGACGGGGAGGUUUGGCACCUCGAUGUCGGCUCAUCGCAUCCUGGGGCGGUAGUACGUCCCAAGGGUUGGGCUGUUCGCCCAUGAAAGCGGUACGCGAGCUGGGUUCAGAACGUCGUGAGACAGUUCGGUCCAUAUCCGGUGUAGGCGUUAGAAUAUUGAGAGGAGCCUUCUUUAGUACGAGAGGACCGAGAAGGACAUACCUCUGGUGUACCAGUUAUCGUGCCAACGGUAAACGCUGGGUAGCUAUGUAUGGAGUGGAUAACCGCUGAAAGCAUCUAAGUGGGAAGCCCACCUUAAGAUAAG